RNAcentral lists this long non-coding RNA (562 nucleotides) under Phoenix dactylifera (date palm). RNAcentral's name for it is "long non-coding RNA (PDAC_LNC021674)". The record is from RNAcentral. Lineage: Eukaryota; Viridiplantae; Streptophyta; Magnoliopsida; Arecales; Arecaceae.
GCUAUAAAAGAAAUUAUAUAGGAGUAUUUUCACAGAUAACCAACUAAUCUUCAAUAUCCAAGAAAUAAUAUUAAAAGGAGUUUUGUGAAAAUGACUGCACAUGUACCCCCUUGAUAAAUACUUCCUUAUCGAACAGUGUUAGGGUACCAAAGAAAGCUCAGAAAAAGGAAAGACAACCAAUAUGUAGCAAUUCUAUUGCUCGGAUUCUAGCUGUUACCAGCUUGAGCAAUAGGAAGGUCGCACACAGCUGUGUAUCUUCUGUAUGAGAGUCAUGUCAGAGAGCAUUGCUCAUAUGUUUCAGUAUCUAGUUUAAAAGCAAUUUUAUAUAUAAGAUUUUUACUUAUUUUUUACUCUUUGAUUUAAAUAUUCAAAAACUGAUCUUCAAAAGACUCUUGCUUGCACUUUAUACCAAAGACAACUUGAAGAACUUGAGCUUGCACCUACAACUGCCUUCACUUGAAUACUUCACAAGCUGAACUCUUAUUACUUUUUAUCGGCCAUAUUACAAUUCAAAAGGCUUUGCAUCCAGCACUUAUAGACCGUACACAAUAAAACAGGAAGG